RNAcentral lists this ribosomal RNA (370 nucleotides) under uncultured bacterium. RNAcentral describes it as "bacterial SSU rRNA". It matches the Rfam family "Bacterial small subunit ribosomal RNA", at positions 29 to 426 of the family's 1533-position model. The record is from RNAcentral.
AACGAACGCUGGCGGCAUGCCUAACACAUGCAAGUCGAACGAAGGCUUCGGCCUUAGUGGCGCACGGGUGCGUAACGCGUGGGAACCUGCCCCUCGGUUCGGAAUAACAGUUAGAAAUGACUGCCAAUACCGGAUGAUGACUUCGGUCCAAAGAUUUAUCGCCGAGGGAUGGGCCCGCGUAGGAUUAGCUUGUUGGUGGGGUAAAGGCCUACCAAGGCGACGAUCCUUAGCUGGUCUGAGAGGAUGAUCAGCCACACUGGGACUGAGACACGGCCCAGACUCCUACGGGAGGCAGCAGUGGGGAAUAUUGGACAAUGGGCGAAAGCCUGAUCCAGCAAUGCCGCGUGAGUGAUGAAGGCCUUAGGGUUGU